GGGGUGUGACAAGAGGCAUCUAGAAACCUUUUGUAUUAGGGACACCAGUUCUGCUUUUGCACUUCCACUUGAAACCAACGAAAACAAUCUCAUUGUUUAUGAAGAUGAUGCUGCUGACAACCACACGGAAAGGGUGGAGGAAGGUACCCAAAACAAGGAUGACGAAUCGUCUUACCAAACUGGUAAUUUCGCCUCCUUUGGUGAUACCAAAAGAUAAAUUAUUUAUGAAGAUGUUUCCCCCAUCGCCUCCAUUGGUGAUCAUGAAUCUAUUAGUGCAUACCUGUCCAGAAUCCCGAGGAAGAAGAACACGAAGAGGAAAAUACCAGAUGAUGCUGCUAAUUAUGCUUUUGCACUUCCACUUGAACCCGACCAAAACAAUUCCAUUGUUUAUGAAGAUGAUGCCGCUGGUAAUAUUCAUAUAAAUAAAAUUUUUAUCGGUCAAAACCACACGGAAAGGGUGGAGGAAGGUACCCAAAACAAGGAUGACGAAUCGUCUUACCAAACUGGUAAUUUCGCCUCCUUUGGUGAUACCAAAAGAUAAAUUAUUUAUGAAGAUGUUUCCCCCAUCGCCUCCAUUGGUGAUCAUGAAUCUAUUAGUGCAUACCUAUCUAGAAUCCCGAGGAAGAAGAACACAAAGAGGAAAAUACCAGAUGAUGCUGCUAAUUAUGCUUUUGCACUUCCACUUGAACCCGACCAAAACAAUUCCAUUGUUUAUGAAGAUGAUGCCGCUGACAACCACACGGAAAGGGUGGAGGAAAGUACCCAAAACAAGGAUAUGACGAACCGUCUUACCAAACCGAUAAUUUCGCCUCCUUUGAUUAUACCAGAAGAAAGAUUGUUUAUGAAGAUGAUUCCCCCAUCGCCUCCUUUGGUGAUCAUGAAUCAAUCAGUGCAUACCUGUCCAGAAUCCCGAAAAAGAAGAACACGAAGAGGCCAGACCCCUGUUUAUCAUAUGGACUAGUGAAUGAACAAAAAUUAUCAAGGAGUCGUCGAAAUAAAAUACCAAAAAAGAUAUUAGUCCAAAAUUAAGUCCAUUAAAAAAGCGUCAGGAAAAAAAUCCUGAACAAUUAUAGUAUGUUCUUGCGAAAUUAGGCUCGAACGCCCCGCUAUGAGGAGAGCAACCUCAAGUCCACCUCCUCGAGGAACAAGCAAUAGGUAUGGUUUGUAUGUAAUUGCUUAUUUUGAUGUUCAAACUUAUAAUUUUGCAUUCUAGUAUGACAAAAUCGACCUAGGGUUUAGUUGUUUCAGUGUUUGAUAAUUGAUACUUUGAUCAUUGUCCAUUGAUGAUUGUUUAAAUAUUUCACUCCUCGUAA
Helianthus annuus (common sunflower) is the source of this 1313-nucleotide long non-coding RNA. RefSeq lists it as uncharacterized. The record is from RefSeq and is a predicted model, not a curated record. The transcript is spliced from 3 exons. Lineage: Eukaryota; Viridiplantae; Streptophyta; Magnoliopsida; Asterales; Asteraceae.